Molecule: ribosomal RNA, 245 nt
Filed under: uncultured bacterium
Lineage: Bacteria
Description: partial 16S ribosomal RNA
Rfam family: Bacterial small subunit ribosomal RNA
Source: RNAcentral
UACGUAGGAGGCAAGCGUUGUCCGGAGUGACUGGGCGUAAAGGGCCUGCAGGCGGUCGUUCAAGUGGAUGGUUCCAGCUCCCGGCUUACCUGGGAGAGCGUCAUCCAAACUGGACGACUCGAGGGUCAGAGAGGGACACCGAAUUCCGGGUGGAGUGGUGAAAUGCGUAGAUAUCCGGAGGAAGACCAAAGGCGAAGGCCGUGUCCUGGCUGAUACCUGACGCUCAGGGGCGAAAGCUAGGGGAG